CGCUAACUCGAAAUGCGCUAUUUCCCCCCGGCUGCAGAGGCGUUAAAGUCAAAAUUGUCUAUUGACCACCGGGCACCGGCUGACAGGGACAAGGUGUAAUCCCACGAAGCUUUCAGGAUGUCUAGGCGUGCUGGAUAAGAUACAACUGGUCUUACCUUCUUGAUUGACGUUGGCAGAAGUCGAGUCAAAUAAAAACGACAUUUAGUUCCAUCCCGGACAAACCAAGGUGUAUUUCUACAUUUCAUAGAAGAGAUGCCAUCACUUUUGAUAAAGCAAGGGAAACCAUAAACAGUAACUCUACCACAGGGUCACCUGGCUGCCGGGGGGAAAUCGAUUAUUACCAAGUUUAAAACUGAAAUAGCAAAAAAUUAUUUUAUCCUUUUCUAUUAGUGGAACUGUGUUGCUGAUGAAACAUCCCUGACAAUUACUAAACUUUGUAGUUUGGACUGAUAAGAAUUUGAAGCAAAUCCAGAGUUAAUAAGAAGAGCCCAUGGAAUGGGGUCAGCCCACAACACACACAAUUUAACUGAUAAUUAUUGUUUGAAGGAGACAAUGCACCAGGGACAGCGGAGGUGUAGCUCUUCAAAGCAGUAUUUAUAUAGAUAAUUCAAAUUGUAAUUUUUUUGUUUUUUUGUUUGAGCCUGCAUUCAUAAAAAAACUGAAGGAUUUCCUUUUUAGAUUGGGCAGCAGCACAUGUCCGUUAUCAUGUUGAUACCAAGUAUUUGUUUAUCUUUAUUCAAUUCUUUUUUAAAAAUUUAGGUCCUGCCUGCAUUGAUUCUGAUGUGGAUGAAUAGCUUAUGUUUUUCAAUGGCUAUAAAUGGAUAGAGUAAAGCUAAAGAAAUUUGAUAAGCUUUACAUUUGCUUUAAAAUUUGGUUUCAUGGUUUUUUUUAAAUACUUAUGUUUUGACUUAAGAGCAGUUCGCUAGCUUCUUGCCGACCUUCUCUUUCAAGUAACGCCUGUCGACGAUUUCACAACUACACGCAUAUAAAGAACGUACUGGCAAAAAGUAAGAUAUCUAAGGCAAUGCACCAGUUCCUUUCCACAGCCCUAUAGUGUGAAAAAAUACAGAGGUAAAAAUCUGAUCAUAUUGAUCUGCACAAUGCUGGCUUCAUGUAAGCAAUCUUGAAAUGACCUAUCAUCUAUCAACAGACUAAGGAGUAUUAAAAGAUUCUUUCCUUAAGAAAAUGGGCAGCUGUGGACUUCCUUUGGAUGACUCCUGUAAAGAGUAAAUAUUUCCUGCUUCUUGGAACAAGGAACAUAGCAGAUAUCUUGAUGCCAACUAAGUGUCAUUUGAAAGAUUGUAAAAAGAUGUUUAAGGAAAAACCUGAAGUUGGAGCAAGAUACAUUUGUCUCUCGUUACUAGUUUUGUAAAACAAAUGAGGUUAAUUCCACAAUCUUCAGCUUCACAGGCAGACCAGACACCCAUCCACAAAGCCGUGGGUGAUAGAUGACGUAAAAUUUUUAUUAAUUUAAAAAAAUUAUAUUUUAGGUUAUUGAUUGGAGAGUUAGAGAACAAUGUGAGAAAACUGAUAUUCUAGCCCUCGAAAUCCCAGCUGCCUUUCUACUUCAACAAUGAACAGGUCCCAACUCAGAUUACGCAGCUGAUGCCCCACAAUACAACCCAGAAAUCUUUACUUGCGGUCUUCCAGUGCCGGGAAUUUGUUAUGCUCUUAUUCAUGCAAUUACUCAAUAAAAAAUUAGGGAAGCGGAUUAUUUGGCAAAUAAAAUAUGACGGGAUUCGGGUUGUCAUAAGAAGCUAGCCCAGAUGCCAAUCUUCUUGAUCCCUCUCACUUCGAUUGCGAUUCCAGUCAACGCAUUCCAUCAUGCCAGUGAUCAGUCGUUUUUCGACCAUUCUUUUCACAGGAUUUUAUGACUGGACUUCCUGGAAUUCCUGAUUUUUACCUAAUUGCUGCAUUUGCCGCAAGAGGUUAUAGACAAGAAGGCUGAAGCCGUCUUAACUGCUCCAGGAAUUUCAAGGGCUUGUAUGACCUGACGGUGAAACCACCCGGGACAACGGAGUGGGAAUGAUCUGAUUUUCGAACGUUGCUUAGGCAAGUGAUCUCCGCACUCUUUAUUGGACAUGGAUGCGGAAUUGUAUCAUUGACCAGAUUUAGAUGGGAGAUAUUAUAAUAGUGUAUUCAGUAUAGACUUUUGAAACUGAAAAAUUAAUCAGCUUUGUCGUCUCGUGAAAAUCUCUUAAACUCGUUUUUUAAGAAAAGUUCACGUGAUGACUUGUUGAGUAUUCCUUAAAUACCAUGCACACUUGUCGGAAAUAAUGGGUGCAUUUGGUUUUCGUGGAACAAAUUAAACAUUGUUAAUGUGCA
Daphnia magna is the source of this 2325-nucleotide long non-coding RNA. RefSeq lists it as uncharacterized. The record is from RefSeq and is a predicted model, not a curated record. NCBI's taxonomy places the organism in Eukaryota, Metazoa, Arthropoda, Branchiopoda, Diplostraca, Daphniidae. The transcript is spliced from 11 exons.